RNAcentral lists this ribosomal RNA (380 nucleotides) under uncultured eukaryote. RNAcentral describes it as "partial 18S ribosomal RNA". It matches the Rfam family "Eukaryotic small subunit ribosomal RNA", at positions 592 to 976 of the family's 1831-position model. The record is from RNAcentral.
CAAUAGCGUAUAUUAAAGUUGUUGCGGUUAAAAAGCUCGUAGUUGGAUUUCUGCCGAGGACGACCGGUCCGCCCUCCGGGUGAGUAUCUGGCUCGGCCUGGGCAUCUUCUUGGAGAACGUAGCUGCACUUGGCUGUGUGGUGCGGUAUUCAGGACUUUUACUUUGAGGAAAUUAGAGUGUUUCAAGCAGGCACACGCCUUGAAUACAUUAGCAUGGAAUAAUAAGAUAGGACCUCGGUUCUAUUUUGUUGGUUUCUAGAUCUGAGGUAAUGAUUAAUAGGGAUAGUUGGGGGCAUUCGUAUUUAACUGUCAGAGGUGAAAUUCUUGGAUUUGUUAAAGACGGACUACUGCGAAAACAUUUGCCAAGGAUGUUUUCAUUGA